AUGGCGUGUGGUGGCGUAUUUUGCUUCCGAGAACAGUACUGUUUAUUUGAAGUGAGAUGUACUCGUCUAGUGCCUCGCAAAAAAAUGAAGGAUGAAGUGUCAUGUACUGUCUAUGUUGUAGUGAGCUAUAGUAGGAGUGAAAUGAAAAUGUAUCUGCUGUUGUAUGUGCUAUUUUGCUAUAAUGUAUUGUGUAUAUUUUACUUGAACAUUAAAUUCUCCAGAAAAAAUGUUCUUACUGGACCUGAUAGUGGCCACGGCCCAAAUAUACUUGUACUAUUAAGAUGCCAUGGCCCAAAAUAA
RNAcentral lists this ribosomal RNA (300 nucleotides) under Triticum aestivum (bread wheat). RNAcentral's name for it is "partial small subunit ribosomal RNA". The record is from RNAcentral. Lineage: Eukaryota; Viridiplantae; Streptophyta; Magnoliopsida; Poales; Poaceae.